Molecule: non-coding RNA, 385 nt
Organism: Pelobates cultripes (western spadefoot toad)
Lineage: Eukaryota; Metazoa; Chordata; Amphibia; Anura; Pelobatidae
Source: the annotation of a GenBank genome assembly
GUUCUACCAGGGCUUGGACUUUCAUUUUUCUCAGACUUAUGGGAUUUCACGCACUUUUUGGUUUCCUAAACAAUAACGGUGGAAAGUUUUCAGCAAUGGAAUUUCAAUUUUUAAACUAUAAGUAUCAAGCUGAAAUAUUAUGCAUCUUAGCUAUUCUGCAUUUUGAAUAUUACCCUUUAUGCAGCCGCUGCUAUAUCAACGUAUAAAAUGACUAUGAUGGUUCCAGACACAUUUUAUGUGUUCUUGCUGCUAGUCCUCACUCACAUAUGGGAGCUAUUCUCUUUCUCCUUUAAGCUUUUACCAGCCUCCUAUAGCAGAUCCUAAAAUCUUCUUCUGCCAUUCACCUUUCCUGAACUAUAUAUGUAGUCUAAACUCUUUAAAUUAA